AUUGAACGCUGGUGGCAUGCUUUACACAUGCAAGUCGGACGGCAGCACAGAGAAGCUUGCUUCUUGGGUGGCGAGUGGCGAACGGGUGAGUAAUAUAUCGGAACGUACCGAGUAAUGGGGGAUAACUAAUCGAAAGAUUAGCUAAUACCGCAUAUUCUCUGAGGAGGAAAGCAGGGGACCUUCGGGCCUUGCGUUAUUCGAGCGGCCGAUAUCCGAUUAGCUAGUUGGUGGGGUAAAGGCCUACCAAGGCGACGAUCAGUAGCGGGUCUGAGAGGAUGAUCCGCCACACUGGGACUGAGACACGGCCCAGACUCCUACGGGAGGCAGCAGUGGGGAAUUUUGGACAAUGGGCGCAAGCCUGAUCCAGCCAUGCCGCGUGUCUGAAGAAGGCCUUCGGGUUGUAAAGGACUUUUGUCAGGGAAGAAAAGGCUGUUGCUAAUAUCGACAGCUGAUGACGGUACCUGAAGAAUAAGCACCGGCUAACUACGUGCCAGCAGCCGCGGUAAUACGUAGGGUGCGAGCGUUAAUCGGAAUUACUGGGCGUAAAGCGAGCGCAGACGGUUACUUAAGCAGGAUGUGAAAUCCCCGGGCUCAACCUGGGAACUGCGUUCUGAACUGGGUGACUAGAGUGUGUCAGAGGGAGGUAGAAUUCCACGUGUAGCAGUGAAAUGCGUAGAGAUGUGGAGGAAUACCGAUGGCGAAGGCAGCCUCCUGGGAUAACACUGACGUUCAUGCUCGAAAGCGUGGGUAGCAAACAGG
Molecule: ribosomal RNA, 759 nt
Filed under: Neisseria subflava
Lineage: Bacteria; Pseudomonadati; Pseudomonadota; Betaproteobacteria; Neisseriales; Neisseriaceae
Description: bacterial SSU rRNA
Rfam family: Bacterial small subunit ribosomal RNA
Source: RNAcentral